RNAcentral lists this long non-coding RNA (5492 nucleotides) under Medicago truncatula (barrel medic). RNAcentral describes it as "long non-coding RNA (MTRU_LNC008719)". Lineage: Eukaryota; Viridiplantae; Streptophyta; Magnoliopsida; Fabales; Fabaceae. The record is from RNAcentral.
UGGAGAAGAACACAUAAUUGUAUUCACAACAAAUCACAAAGACAAGCUUGAUCCUGCUCUGCUAAGACCUGGUAGAAUGGACAAGCAAAUUCACUUGUCAUAUUGCAACUUUUCUGCUUUGAAGCAAUUGGUUGUUAACUACCUUUGCAUUACUCAACAUGAACUCUUUGAAGAGAUUGAAGUGCUUCUAGGAGAAGUUCAAGUUACUCCAGCUGAAAUUGCAGAAGAGCUAACAAAGGACUGUGAUGCAACAGAAUGUCUAGAAGACCUUAUCAAAUCCCUCCAAGCCAAGAAAAUGAUCAAGGAAGACAUUAAUAAUGAAGAAAAUGUCAAAGAAGAACAUGAACUAGGCAGCUAUGAAGAAGGGACUGCGGCAGACUCCGACACAGGCUCCAACACGAACACAUGACAUGACACUGACACGAACACGUCGGCACAACUAAUUUAAAAAAACAUAGAACAACGAUAAGGCUACCUGAACUGCCAGAGAGCAAACAAAAGAUUUUUUGGGGACUCUUUAAUUACUUUACUUGGAGGCAUGGCCGGUCUCAAGAUUGUUGGUGUUAUUAAUUAUGUAAAAGAUGUAAAGCUCUUUGUAAAUCUGUGUAACUUGUGUGUCUUGUGUGAUCACACCUCAUAUAUUUAUACUAGUAUUUACAAUCAAUACAUUGAAUGCUUUAAUUACUUAGCACUAACUUGGUAAGUUGUAUAGUCUAGAGUUACCAACAAUCAGUCUAGAGACUUCUGUAAUUCUAGCAUUCAAUUUUACUACAUGAUUGCGAUUGUGAUUUCAGUUUUACUGAUUAAAUCGUAUAUGAUUAUAUAUUUUAAUUUGAAUUAAUAACGGAGCAUAUAAAUAUAAAUUAUAAUCAUUUAGAACGAUGAAGAAAUUUUUUUAUCAAAUAAAUUAUUCAAAUAUAAGAUUUCAAACUGAAAUCAAUAUUUUAUUUUUUCACUAAUCAUAAAAUUUAUUUGUGUAGUACAAUUUGUGCGUUGCAACAACACACAGGUUUGUAAUCACACUUGCCACCCAAAGUAUAGCCAUUUCUUAAACAAUAAUUACCACAAUCUUGACCUUUACUUAGACAUGGCCCUUUGCCAAUGCAAUAAUCAUAAGGAGGUAUUCCAUCAACUGCUCCUCCUACAAUCAAUAUAGUAAUGUCACAAGAUGCAUGUCAGCAUAUCAAAUAUUAAAUCUAACAAGUUUUAUUAUUGAUCUAAUUUGUAAAAAAAAUAGUUGUAGAUGAAGUAAAGAUUUUACCUAUUGUCAAAACGGAAGCAAUACAUAAAAUUGCAAUGAAAAAAUGCACCCGGUUGAUACAUGUUGUCAUAUUCUCUUGAAAGAUGAACAAACAAUGCUACAAGGAGCUAUUUAUAGAGUGUUCUAGGGAAACUAUUAUAAGUUUUUUUCUGUAUUAAAUUAAAAUCUAAAGUUUUUUUUUGACUAAAAAGAUCUAUACUUUUUUUUUUGACUAAAAAGAUCUAUACAUUUAAAACGAAAUCUCAUAUUAAUAUUAAAAAAUAAAUAAUUAAGAUUUUUAAAAGGAAAAUGUUAAAACUAAAAUAAAAAAUUAUCAUCACAUAUGGAGAGCACUGUCAGGCAUGUACGUUUGAGCGGAUCAUCCUUUACGUCGGAUGGUUCAGAGACGGUAAUCUAAAGGUGAAAUAUCUGUCGGAGCGAGUGUUGCGUUAGUUUGGGUACUAGAAGACCGUCCCUAGACAUCCUCAUGAGAGUGCACCUCCCCAGGAGAUCUUAGUGGAUAUCAACAGUUGGGUCACCGUGCACUGCAGGGAGUGGAGGUGGAAGAGGGAUACAUCAGAUGGUUUUAUCUCGUCUCUCUUCCACGCAUGAUUCUUCCAAACCAGGAGGUUCAGGUGCCGAGCCCACCAGAUCAGAGGUCGUUGAUGAGAUUGUUGUUAAGGAGGAUGGAGAGCAUGGGUUCUAAGAGUUGGGUGGAAGGUUGGGCCGUAUCAGAGACCAUAUAUAUGUUGUUAUGUCCAGUGGUGUGGUGCCACAAGGGUCUGAGGCAUGACAAUAUUUGGAGGAUGUCUCGAGAGAGGUUUAUGGUGGAAAGGUUUAUCGUCGUAGGCAUAAUGUUGAAGGUGGCACGGGUGUAGUCAUUGGAUAAUUUUAAUUUUUUAUUAUGUGAUAUUUGAAUAAUUGGUGAGGUAACAUUUGGAUAAUUUUAUUUUUAUGUUCGAGUAAUAUUAUGUUUUGAAAAAUUAUGUUGUGUUGUUCAUUGUUGUUUUGAAUUAUAUUUUCUGCUUGAACAUAUGGUCAAAUGCAUGAUUAUGUCGUUUUGAAGUAAUCUAAUGCGUCAAAUGCAUGUUUUAGCCCAAAACAGUCAAGUCUGUCUCUGUGCUGAUGCAGUUUGAAUUAUAUAAUUCGGAAACAUCCUUUUCCACCAUAUAUAUGUUCACUUCCUACAGGGAGUUUGACACAUUUUGGAUUAUAUAAUCCGGAAUGUGUAAAAUCAGUUUAGAUUAUAUAAUCCGAACUCAAUCAAUGCAAUUUAGCAUAAUGAUCCUUCAGGGUGCCAGAAGCUCCAAAAGGCUCGAAAAGUUUCGGAUUAUAUAAUUCAAAAGUAGUUCAAAUUAUAUAAUCCUGAUGAUGGUAUUUUUGGAGAAAAAAAAUAGGACGCGCUAGAAACCAGCAGGAUGGGAAAAAUAUGUUUGCAUUCUAUUAGCUCUUUAAUCUUCCUAUGUAGGCAUUGAACCUUUUGUGAAGUUUCAAAUCCAAUUAAUAACUCUGUUCAUGACUAUCUUAAUUAAACUACUUAUUUCUGCUAAUAAAUCCUCUUAAUUGUAAUACAACUCCCUCCAUCCUAAAAUACACCAAGUAGAUGUAAUACACCAAUACAUUGUAACUUGUAAGAGUACUUUAGUAAACAUAUUAUUUUCUCUACUUCAUUCAUAGAAAAUUCCACAUACUUGAUAAAGAAAUCAAGAGUUUUUUUUUUUUUUUUUUUUUUUUUUUAAGAAUGGAAAUCAAGAGUUAAAUAUGAUGUCUACCAAGUCAACACACUUGAAAUAAAAAAUAAAGUCGUUUUCACACUGUUCGAGCAAUGUAAAAGCAUUGAUUAACAUAAAGAGUUGUAGAUGUUAUUUUCAUAUGAGACUAGUGCCAUUGAAAUUAUAACAUCAACUUUUGAAAUGCUAUGAACAUCUCAUAACCCGAUUCCAACGUUUAGCGGACCAAAAGUAUCCUCCAAGUUAUAAAGAAGUCAAAAUAAAAUGUUGAGCAAUAUUCAAACUUUGAACUAUAUAUUUUGAGUUUUAUACAAUUAGUUUUAGGAUGAGAGUAGGUCCAUCUGAAAGCUAAAUCAAUGUUUACAAUUCGUAUGAAGAACUUGAGUCAAAAUUAUAUCGAUUUGUGUCAAAUUGGUGUGUUAGAAACUAAGUAUAGAUUAAUGUUUUUUGACUCAUACAUUUUAGGGUUAAUUAAAUUUUUAUCCCUAUAAAUAUUCACAGUUUAGUUUUUAGUCCCUACAAAAUAAAAUCACACUUUUUAGUCCCUAUGACAUUUUCCUUAAACAUUUUAGGGACCAAAAUUGUUGAUGAAAAUUUUUGACGGGGACUAAAAAUGCUGAUCAGAACAAUGUUCACGGACACUCGUAAUUUGAUGAUAUUUCUUUAUUUAUUUUUUUUACUAGAAAGGAAAUUAAAUCUGAAAUGAAUUCUCCCAACAUUAAAAGAAAGACUAUUUGCUCCUAGAAAAGUCAAUGAGCUUGCUGUGCACGUUCCGUCAAAAACAAAAAACUUGCUAUGCACAUUAUUCAUGGUAUAGUUUCAACUAUAUAUAACUUUAUACAACUAUGGAAAGAAACAUAUCUUGAACCAUAUCAUUCAAGAUCCAAACUACAAACCAUCUUUACUCCCUCACAUUAAGAAACUAUCUUCAAUCAUUGUUCUGAUCUUUUGCAGGAAUCGAAUUUACUGCAGUCAGAUCGCAACAAUGAUCGACAGCAAGACAGUUUUAUCGGCAAUGGCCUCUAUUGUGCUAGUGCGAAACAUCACGAAAGAAGUCGUUCCUCAUGAGAUCCUAAACUUUGUACAACCAUGUUUUUCACCAAUUCUCAGCGCAAUUUACCAUAGUCAUUGAAGAAUUUCAAGGGAUGGCAAAAAACCAAGUAUUUGAGGCUGCUGAAACCUAUCUAGGAACUAAAGCAACAGUCUCAACAGAAAGAGUUAAAGCAAGCAAAUCUCAUGAUCACAAGAAACUUUCAUUCAAUAUUGAUAGAGGUGAAGAAGUGAGUGAUGAUUUUGAAGGUAUUACAGUAAAGUGGAAAUUAAUAUGCAUACAAGAAGAUGGAUCACGAAUUCGACAUAAUGAUAUGUACACCUCAUCCGUGUCAGAAAUUAGAUCCUAUGAACUAACUUUUCACAAGAAACACAAGAACACGAUCUUCGAUUCAUAUUUCCCUUAUGUGAUGGAGAUAGCUAAACAAAUUAAACAAGGAAACAUGGCUAUCAAGAUUCUCUCAACUGAACAUGGAUGCUGGAGCCAUGAACCUGUCAAGUUCAACCAUCCAAUGAGUUUCAACACUCUUGCAAUUGAUAUAGAACUUCGAAGGGAAAUUAUGAAUGAUUUGGACAAUUUUGUCAAAGCCAAAGAGUUUUAUAGAAGAACAGGAAAAGCUUGGCAACGCGGUUACUUGUUGUAUGGUCCACCUGGUACUGGAAAGUCUAGCUUGAUUGCAGCCAUGGCUAACUAUCUCAACUAUGAUAUCUUUGACUUGGAUCUCACUGAUGUAGGGGAUAAUAAGAGCUUGAAGCAACUUAUCAUUGGUAUGUCCAACCGUUCUAUACUUGUGAUAGAGGACAUUGAUUGCACUAUUAACCUGCAGAACCGAGAAGAAGAUGAAAAUGAAGAAGUUGUUGAUAAUGGAUACAAUAAGGUAUGUAUUUUUCUUUAAAUAUAUCAUUCAAAGUUCCAUUUAUACUGAAAUUCCAUAGGUUUAGAAGAAUAUGGCAUGGGUGAAUCUAGCUGCUAAGGACUAAUGUUUGUUGGUAAUUUUUCUACAGAUGACACUUUCGGGACUAUUGAAUGCAGUAGAUGGUCUUUGGUCGUGCUGUGGAGAAGAACACAUAAUUGUUGUCACAACAAAUCACAAAGAAAGGCUUGAUCCUGCUCUAUUAAGGCCUGGUAGAAUGGACAAGCAAAUUCACUUGUCAUAUUGCAACUUUUCUGCUUUUAAGCAAUUGGUUAUUAACUACCUUUGCAUUACUCAACAUGAACUCUUUGAAAAGAUUGAACUGCUUCUAGGAGAAGUUCAAGUUACUCCUGCUGAAAUUGCAGAAGAGCUAACAAAGGAUGUUGAUGCUACAGAAUGCCUACAAGACCUUAUCAAAUCCCUCCAAGCCAAGAAAAUCAUGAAGGAAGAGAUAAAAAAUGAAGAAAAUAUCAAAGAAGAACAUGAACUAGGUAGCUAUGAAGCACGGACUCUGACGAGGACUCCGACACGGACACCUGACAUGACACUGACACGAAC